Molecule: long non-coding RNA, 845 nt
Filed under: Coffea arabica (coffee)
Lineage: Eukaryota; Viridiplantae; Streptophyta; Magnoliopsida; Gentianales; Rubiaceae
Description: long non-coding RNA (CARA_LNC004218)
Source: RNAcentral
UUUUUCAGCUAUUAGUCAAAAGUGGGGUGUUGUUGGUCCAAAUUUCAAGCACAAUUAUUUAUUAUGCAUGAAAGAAUUGCUUUGUACUUUCUUUGAUAACCAAUUUUAUUUUAUGAGUGCUUCAUGCUAACCAAAAUUCUUUAUUAUUAUUUUAUAUGAUUUUGUUUUACUUGCUUAUUUUUAACUAGUUUUCUUGUCCUAUUUCAAAAUUUGUUUCCUAAAUUACCUUUGAUAAAAAGUUCCUCACAUACAUUCUUAUCCAAGUAAAGAUUUUCUUAAUCAUUGCUUUUAUUAAUAACUUUAUAUUUGAAUUAUUUCUUCAUUUUUUACUAGCACAUUCAAAUCUUUAAAUAUCUCUUUUCCCGUAUUUAUCACUAGUAAGAGUACUCUUAGACAUAAGAUUGAUUCAGAGGCCCUCCAAAAUUAAUCUAUAUCAUUAGUGUAAACAUAUUUAAACAAAAGCAGAAGAAACUUUGGAUAAGUUUCAGAUAUUGCAUUGUAAUGAAUUAAUACAAUAUAAAAUUUGAAAUAUCAUGAUGAGACAAAAUAAUUUAUUAAUGAUGAAAAUUUUCAUCAACUGAAAUACUUACAGGAUUGAUGGACUUCGUAUAAUUGUUGAAGAUUUGAAUUCUCUGAACUAGAGAUGAUAUGCUUAUUGGGUAUAAUUCUAAUAUGGUACAAUUCUAAAGAAAUUGAAGGAAAAAAUAAUAGAUGUUUUUCUAUUCUAAUAAUCCAAAAGUAGUUUGAAUUAUUACCUAACAAUUAUUGUCUCGAGAGUCGAGACUUGAGAGAUGCCUUGGAGUUUUGGACAGAGAUUUUCUUCACUUCUCAAGACCUGUUUUUCU